This 497-nucleotide ribosomal RNA is filed under the name uncultured bacterium. RNAcentral's name for it is "partial 16S ribosomal RNA". It matches the Rfam family "Bacterial small subunit ribosomal RNA", at positions 39 to 507 of the family's 1533-position model. The record is from RNAcentral.
GGGGGGGGGGGGGGGGGGGGCGGGGGGAUGGAGGGCGGGGGGAGGGGUGAGGAGCGUGCUGGUGUGGGGUUGGCGGCGGAGGGGUGGGGAAGGGGGUGAUAGCCGUCCUAUAAGACUGGGGUAAAUGCGGGGAGAGGGAGCUAAUACCGGAUAAGAUAUUGAACGGCAUUGUUCAUUAUUGAAAGCCGGUUUUGGUGUAACUUAUAGGUGGAGCCGCGCCGAAGUGGCUAGUUGGUAAGGGAACGGCUUACCAAUGCAAAGAGGCGUUUCCGACCUGAGGGGGUGAUCGGCCACACUAGAACUGAGACACGGUCCAGACUCCUACGGGAGGGAGCAGUAUGGAAUCUGCCGCAAUGGGCGAAAGCCUGACGGAGCAACGCCGCGUGAGUGAUAAAGGUCUUCGGAUCGUAAAACUCUGUUAUGAGGGAAGAACAAAUGUGUAAGUAACUAUGCACGUCUUGACGGUACCUAAUCAGAAAGCCACGGCUAACUACGUG